RNAcentral lists this long non-coding RNA (1105 nucleotides) under Equus caballus (horse). RNAcentral's name for it is "lncRNA (ENSECAG00000057537.1)". Lineage: Eukaryota; Metazoa; Chordata; Mammalia; Perissodactyla; Equidae. The record is from RNAcentral.
UGGAACUCUGGGUCACCAUGAACAAGCUCAACUGCUCUGAGACCAUCAGGCAAUGAGAAAGCCCAAGUCACCGGGAAAGGGAUGCAUAGGCACUCCCAUUGACAGUACCAGCUGAGGCCAGCCUUCAAGUCAUUCCAGGCUCUGUGCCAGAUAUAAUGUAAGCAUCUCAAGGGCAGGAGCCUUGUGUGGUCCAUGCUGCAUCUCAAGUACCCAGGACAAUGCCUGGAACAUAGGAGGGCCUCUGAAGAUGUAUGUUGGGUGUUGCUGAUGGUGGCAUCCUAGAGUAGAGAAAAGGACUGAAGAGUGGAAAAAAAUCCCAAGGUGUCUGAAGGAUGGUCUCAAACGUGACUAGUUUUUCAAGGAUCACCACUUCGUGUAAUCUCUGUGGAUGCCAUUCAUAUUGAAUUCUAUGUAAAUGGCGCCCCCUGGAGGAGUGGAACAGACUGCCACCCAUUCUAAAUGAAUGAUCUAGCACUAUGUGUACAUGAUUCCUGUGCCCCUGGAGACUCCUCCUCCCACACUAAACUAGCAAUACUGAGGACCAGUCCCUGGGACCUAUGAGACGGCUAUCUCUGAGAGUCCAGCCCUUGAGACAGAUUUUCCUAGAAAACACUCCAACUGACCCAAGACCUUCAAUUCUUGAAACAAGUAGGGAGGAGAAGGUGGUAAAGAAAUCCAAGUGCUAUUGUGAUGUGUGUCUUCCCUCUCUAUUUUGGGAUGAAAUUAUUUCAAGAUUUGAUUUACACAGUAGAAAUCGUGACUGUAAGCUUUGGACAGGUAUCUAGGCACUUACUAGUGUUCCCUCUUGUCUCGAGAAUGAGACAGCCAGGAGUGCCAGAUAUUUCCCAGUCUUGCCUCCGCUCUCAUAUCUAGAAACAAGAGCCUCCCAAAGGUCUCUCAUUCCUCAAGGUCCAUGGGAAGCCCAGUGGCUCAAUGGGAAAGCGUCAGUGACAAAUAUGUGUCUUUGUGAGAGAGCAAGAAGUCAGUCUCUUGGUUUGAACCAUUUGGUCUAGAAGACUAUCAUUCUACCAGGAGCAUAAAUUAUUAUUCUAUCAGGGGCAUAAAACCCCAAAGAAGUUUUGCAUAAGACACCAAACUCCAUGUC